This 418-nucleotide ribosomal RNA is filed under the name uncultured bacterium. RNAcentral describes it as "bacterial SSU rRNA". It matches the Rfam family "Bacterial small subunit ribosomal RNA", at positions 29 to 490 of the family's 1533-position model. The record is from RNAcentral.
AGCGAACGCUGGCGGCAGGCUUAACACAUGCAAGUCGAGCGGGCGUAGCAAUACGUCAGCGGCAGACGGGUGAGUAACGCGUGGGAACGUACCUUUUGGUUCGGAACAACACGGGGAAACUUGUGCUAAUACCGGAUAAGCCCUUACGGGGAAAGAUUUAUCGCCGAAAGAUCGGCCCGCGUCUGAUUAGCUAGUUGGUGAGGUAACGGCUCACCAAGGCGACGAUCAGUAGCUGGUCUGAGAGGAUGAUCAGCCACAUUGGGACUGAGACACGGCCCAAACUCCUACGGGAGGCAGCAGUGGGGAAUAUUGGACAAUGGGCGCAAGCCUGAUCCAGCCAUGCCGCGUGAGUGAUGAAGGCCCUAGGGUUGUAAAGCUCUUUUGUGCGGGAAGAUAAUGACGGUACCGCAAGAAUAAG